AGCAGCCGCGGUAAUCCCAGCUCCAAUAGCGUAUAUUAAAGUUGUUGCAGUUAAAAAGCUCGUAGUUGAAUUUCGGGAUCAAUUCGUCGGUCGUGCUUUUUGGUACGUACUGGCGUUAUUGGUUUCUCCUUUCUGACGAGCCAUGAUGUCAUUAAUUUGGUGUUAUGGGGAUCAGGACUGUUACUUUGAAAAAAUUGAGUGUUUAAAGCAGGCAUUAGCUUGAAUACAUUAGCAUGGAAUAAUGAAAUAGGACGUUCGAUCCUAUUUUGUGGUUUCUAGGAUCAACGUAAUGAUUAAUAGGGAUAGUUGGGGGCAUUAGUAUUCAAUUGUCAGAGGUGAAAUUUCUUGGUAUUUAUUGAAGACUUAACUACUGCGAAAGCAUUUGCCAAGGAUGUUUUCAUUAAUCAAGUAACGAAGUUAAGGGAUCGAAGACGAU
Molecule: ribosomal RNA, 436 nt
Filed under: uncultured Glomus
Lineage: Eukaryota; Fungi; Glomeromycota; Glomeromycetes; Glomerales; Glomeraceae
Description: SSU rRNA
Rfam family: Eukaryotic small subunit ribosomal RNA
Source: RNAcentral